UGGGGGAUAUUGCACAAUGGGCGAAAGCCUGAUGCAGCGACGCCGCGUGGGGGAUGAAGGCUUUCGGGUUGUAAACCUCUUUCGCUAUCGAACAAGGCCCGCUUAGGGUGGGUUGAGGGUAGGUGGAGAAGAAGCGCCGGCUAACUACGUGCCAGCAGCCGCGGUAAUACGUAGGGCGCGAGCGUUGUUCGGAAUCAUUGGGCGUAAAGGGCUUGUAGGCGGCUUGUUGCGCCUGCUGUGAAAACGCGGGGCUUAACUUCGCGCGUGCAGUGGGUACGGGCAGGCUUGAGUGUGGUAGGGGUGACUGGAAUUCCAGGUGUAGCGGUGGAAUGCGCAGAUAUCUGGAGGAACACCGAUGGCGAAGGCAGGUCACUGGGCCAUUACUGACGCUGAGGAGCGAAAGCAUGGGUAGCGAACAGG
This 420-nucleotide ribosomal RNA is filed under the name bacterium. Its description in RNAcentral is "partial 16S ribosomal RNA". It matches the Rfam family "Bacterial small subunit ribosomal RNA", at positions 355 to 776 of the family's 1533-position model. The record is from RNAcentral.